This 802-nucleotide unclassified non-coding RNA is filed under the name Oligochaeta divaricata. Its description in RNAcentral is "external transcribed spacer". The record is from RNAcentral. Lineage: Eukaryota; Viridiplantae; Streptophyta; Magnoliopsida; Asterales; Asteraceae.
CGGUCAGNGCAUGAGUGGGUACACGAGACGCUAAGGGUAUGCACUGAUCGGGGACACACUGGGUGGAUGCGAGUCGGUAAACGAUGGUUAUUGUUGGGAUACGAGUUGGUACACUAGUCGGUAUACGCGCGCGAUGGCCCGGAGUGGGCAUGUCGUUUAGGCUUUGCCCUNGACGGCGUGCUUGCAUCAACGGUUGGUCUAGGCCAAUCGAGUCGAAAUGACGAUGUGGCUACACAACGUCAUGGAGGCAUGUCCCUACACAAUGGUUACUUUCGCAUCGCUCGGUGCAUUCUGGGGGCUGUUUUGGCUUUUGGUUGCUUGCUUGGCUAUUUCGUCGAGUGGGUGGCUACUAGUUGGGCGGCUUUCGGGAAUGUCGACCGUAAAGGUGCAUGAGUGGUGUUUGGUUUGUUACGGGUGGUUGGCUGUCUGCUCGCGCAGCAACGUCCACGCGUGCUUACCUCUUCAGUUGUGCGGCAAGGCUUAGAUUGUCUUGAGCAUAUUGUGGGUUUCCUGUGUUGCAUACCUAAUCGAUGGUAACGUGUGGCCUUUAUGAUGUCCCUAUUCGUCAUGCGUCGCUCAUGCGACGUGGGAUGAACGUCUAAGCGGUCUUUGUGAUCCAUCUUGUUGUUGCAUUUGCAACUAUGAUGUGGCCCAUGAAGCAUUGCUUGGUCUCUUGUAUACAGAACCUAAUGUGGGCAUGGGUCUUAUACGAUCCUGAAUUUGCCCUCGUUAAGCGUUCUYGCUUCUCCAAAACGAUUGUCCACCAUGCCUUGGCUUGUCCAUGCAUGGUGGGCUACGUCGA